RNAcentral lists this ribosomal RNA (706 nucleotides) under uncultured bacterium. RNAcentral describes it as "bacterial SSU rRNA". It matches the Rfam family "Bacterial small subunit ribosomal RNA", at positions 722 to 1429 of the family's 1533-position model. The record is from RNAcentral.
CAGCNUCCUGGGAUAACACUGACGUUCAUGCCCGAAAGCGUGGGUAGCAAACAGGAUUAGAUACCCUGGUAGUCCACGCCCUAAACGAUGUCGAUUAGCUGUUGGGCAGCAUGACUGCUUAGUAGCGAAGCUAACGCGUGAAAUCGACCGCCUGGGGAGUACGGUCGCAAGAUUAAAACUCAAAGGAAUUGACGGGGACCCGCACAAGCGGUGGAUGAUGUGGAUUAAUCCGAUGCAACGCGAAGAACCUUACCUGGUCUUGACAUGUACGGAACCCUCCAGAGACGGAGGAGUGCCUUCGGGAGCCGUAACACAGGUGCUGCAUGGCUGUCGUCAGCUCGUGUCGUGAGAUGUUGGGUUAAGUCCCGCAACGAGCGCAACCCUUGUCAUUAGUUGCCAUCAUUAAGUUGGGCACUCUAAUGAGACUGCCGGUGACAAGCCGGAGGAAGGUGGGGAUGACGUCAAGUCCUCAUGGCCCUUAUGACCAGGGCUUCACACGUCAUACAAUGGUCGGUACAGAGGGUAGCCAAGCCGCGAGGCGGAGCCAAUCUCACAAAACCGAUCGUAGUCCGGAUUGCACUCUGCAACUCGAGUGCAUGAAGUCGGAAUCGCUAGUAAUCGCAGGUCAGCAUACUGCGGUGAAUACGUUCCCGGGUCUUGUACACANCGCCCGUCACACCAUGGGAGUGGGGGAUACCAGAANUAG